ACUUUCGCAAAAUCGAAAGCCAGCCGUGGAAAGCUGAAUAAACCAGAGGCGAACAGCACGCCAACCCGUGCUUUUU
RNAcentral lists this small RNA (76 nucleotides) under Gallibacterium anatis CCM5995. RNAcentral describes it as "isrK". Lineage: Bacteria; Pseudomonadati; Pseudomonadota; Gammaproteobacteria; Pasteurellales; Pasteurellaceae. The record is from RNAcentral.